CUCUAGAGUUUGAUCCUGGCUCAGGACGAACGCUGGCGGCGUGCUUAACACAUGCAAGUCGAACGGAAAGGCCCAGCUUGCUGGGUACUCGAGUGGCGAACGGGUGAGUAACACGUGGGUGAUCUGCCCUGCACUCUGGGAUAAGCCUGGGAAACUGGGUCUAAUACCGGAUAUGACCAACUGUCGCAUGGUGGUUGGUGGAAAGCUUUUGCGGUGUGGGAUGGGCCCGCGGCCUAUCAGCUUGUUGGUGGGGUAAUGGCCUACCAAGGCGACGACGGGUAGCCGACCUGAGAGGGUGAUCGGCCACACUGGGACUGAGACACGGCCCAGACUCCUACGGGAGGCAGCAGUGGGGAAUAUUGCACAAUGGGCGCAAGCCUGAUGCAGCGACGCCGCGUGAGGGAUGACGGCCUUCGGGUUGUAAACCUCUUUCACCAGGGACGAAGCGUGAGUGACGGUACCUGGAGAAGAAGCACCGGCCAACUACGUGCCAGCAGCCGCGGUAAUACGUAGGGUGCGAGCGUUGUCCGGAAUUACUGGGCGUAAAGAGCUCGUAGGCGGUUUGUCGCGUCGUCUGUGAAAUUCUGCAACUCAAUUGCAGGCGUGCAGGCGAUACGGGCAGACUUGAGUACUACAGGGGAGACUGGAAUUCCUGGUGUAGCGGUGAAAUGCGCAGAUAUCAGGAGGAACACCGGUGGCGAAGGCGGGUCUCUGGGUAGUAACUGACGCUGAGGAGCGAAAGCGUGGGUAGCGAACAGGAUUAGAUACCCUGGUAGUCCACGCCGUAAACGGUGGGUACUAGGUGUGGGUUCCUUUUCACGGGAUCCGUGCCGUAGCUAACGCAUAAGUA
RNAcentral lists this ribosomal RNA (850 nucleotides) under Gordonia terrae. RNAcentral describes it as "bacterial SSU rRNA". It matches the Rfam family "Bacterial small subunit ribosomal RNA", at positions 1 to 866 of the family's 1533-position model. The record is from RNAcentral. Lineage: Bacteria; Bacillati; Actinomycetota; Actinomycetes; Mycobacteriales; Gordoniaceae.